Molecule: transfer RNA, 71 nt
Filed under: Ensatina eschscholtzii (common Ensatina)
Lineage: Eukaryota; Metazoa; Chordata; Amphibia; Caudata; Plethodontidae
Description: tRNA-Leu
Source: RNAcentral
ACUUUUAAAGGAUAACAGUUAUCCUUUGGUCUUAGGAACCAAAAAUCUUGAUGCAACUCCAAGUAAAAGUU